AUGAAAUCCUUGAGCUUUUUGCUGGUGUUCCUGUGGCUUCAGUUUAACUGGGUGAGCAGCCAGCAGAAGGUGCAGCAGAACCCAGAAUCCCUCAGUGUCCCAGGGGGAGCCAUGGCCUCUCUCAACUGCACUUUCAGUGAUAGUGCUUCCAACAACUUCAGGUGGUACAGACAGCUUUCCGGGAAAGGCCUCGAGUUGCUGGUGUCCAUCUUCUCCAAUGGUGACAAGGAAGAAGGCAGAUUCACAGCUCACCUCAAUAAAGCCAGCCUGCAUGUUGCCCUGCACAUCAGAGACUCCCAGCCCAGUGACUCUGCUGUCUACCUCUGUGCAGCGAUGAACAACCUACAAGGAGAAGAUUCUUCCAUGCCCCAAGCAUCUAAGAGACUGGACAUGUCGACAAUAACUGCAGCCACAAAACUUCCAUAG
Molecule: non-coding RNA, 426 nt
Organism: Meriones unguiculatus (Mongolian gerbil)
Lineage: Eukaryota; Metazoa; Chordata; Mammalia; Rodentia; Muridae
Source: the annotation of a RefSeq genome assembly